UUUAGUUUAUACCAUGCUUUCACGGAAUUUGUUACCAGAAGGUGUUUAGACUCAGCAGCAGCAUAAUGGACAGCUGCUCGAGGCCCCCCGGUUUGGGCCUCACUCACAAGAUUUUGAGCUUUCUGUGAUGCUGUUUCAAUUAGACUAUGUACUUGGCUGGCAACCCGCUUGGCCAAAGGGGGAGCGUGCUCGUCAAACUUGCGUGAAGCAUCAUCCACCUGCAGUAUUAUUAAGUUAAUUACUCCUGUCAUCUAGGUUAUUUGCCAAAGUUCAUUGCAGAAAUCAAAUAAUCAGGGAAUUCAUAGUCACAGAGACAGCUCUGUAAUGAAUACAUCAGAACCCAAAGAAUAAAAUUAAAUAAAAAUUGGAUAUUUUAGGAACCACAACAGGAGUUCUUCACUUCAUAUAUUAGAUUAUAAAUUCAUAAUCACACAAAAUCAAAUCUUAUUUAUAAGAUCAUGCCUAAAAGAUCCCAAAUCAACAAAUUCCAGAAUCCCAAAGCUAAGAAAAAUCCGAUAUUCUCUCCACCAACGUUCAGAAGAACCCAAACCUCACAGGAACUAUUUUGAAAAAAUUAUUCUAAAUCUUAGAAUGAUGAAAAUAAAGAAAGAAAAUAAAAAUUGAUCUGAGGAGAAUAAAACAAAAAAACAAACAAAUAAUACCUUCUUAUCAAGAAAAACGAGGAGAUCAUCAGGCACGCCCUUGAAUUUCAGAUAAACAGGUCCCACGACGGCAGUCACGGCGCUUUCGACAGUCCCAACCGGCGAGCGUAGCGGCCCCGAGUUGCGUUUUGCGUAGUCGUACAAACUCGACACGCACACCAGAGCCUGAAUCGCGGCUAUCCUCAUAAAUCCAAGAUGCCUCAGUUCCUGUUUCUUCCUCUCAGUCUCCAUAUCUUCACUGCGCAAAAGAUGAAUUAUUCGAUAUUGCUU
RNAcentral lists this long non-coding RNA (932 nucleotides) under Citrus maxima (pomelo). RNAcentral's name for it is "long non-coding RNA (CMAX_LNC003195)". Lineage: Eukaryota; Viridiplantae; Streptophyta; Magnoliopsida; Sapindales; Rutaceae. The record is from RNAcentral.